Molecule: ribosomal RNA, 234 nt
Filed under: uncultured bacterium
Lineage: Bacteria
Description: partial 16S ribosomal RNA
Rfam family: Bacterial small subunit ribosomal RNA
Source: RNAcentral
GAUAGAGGAUGCAAGCGUUAUCCAGAAUGAUUGGGCGUAAAGCGUCUGUAGGUGGCUUUCAAGUCCGCCGUCAAAUCCCAGGGCUCAACCCUGGACAGGCGGUGGAAACUACCAAGCUGGAGUACGGUAGGGGCAGGGAAUUUCUGGUGGAGCGGUGAAAUGCAUUGAGAUCGAAAAGAACACCACGGCGAAAGCACUCUGCUGGCCAACACUGACACUGGAGAGACGAAAUCU